This 207-nucleotide long non-coding RNA is filed under the name Mytilus galloprovincialis (Mediterranean mussel). Lineage: Eukaryota; Metazoa; Mollusca; Bivalvia; Mytilida; Mytilidae. The record is from RNAcentral.
CCCUUUAUUCCAGUUGACCCACUUAGCAUAUUCUUCUUAUUGUUUAACUGUACAAUUCCUCUUGGCUUCACAAUGCAUGGAAUAUUUCCCACUGGAUUUUAGGCAAGCAAUAAUCAAUCGUUGAGCCAAAUUAAAGUCUGCAAUCUUAACUCAAUCUGAGACCACCAACAGUUUUUGGAGGGGUUCAUGUCGCUAAGUCUUUUACUU